This is a long non-coding RNA of Microtus ochrogaster (prairie vole), 373 nucleotides long. RefSeq lists it as uncharacterized. The record is from RefSeq and is a predicted model, not a curated record. NCBI's taxonomy places the organism in Eukaryota, Metazoa, Chordata, Mammalia, Rodentia, Cricetidae.
GGAGGGCACGCGCCACGUGGGCCGUGGCGGCGGGUAACAGACACAUAAACACAAAAGAUAGGCAUAAAGGCAUGUCAGUUGGGCCAGUCAGUGGCCACCUACUGUGGAGGCCCAGAAGCACUUUCUCCCAGAGGAAGCUUCGAGAUUGAGACUUCAGCAUCUGCAGCCUGUCUAUGUCACACUGAAGAGGGAAGAAAGAAAGGGUUGUAACUUGCUGACUAUUGUAACAUCAAACCUGCCACCAGAAACCCAGCGUUGUCUCCAAUAAAGGCUCUUGGGAACUUCUUGAGGAAUUUACCACCCUCCUCAUAACACCCCUUGCCACUGUUCAACAGAUUUUUAUGACAAGCCAAACAUAAAGAACAAGAGUUAU